GACAUUUUUAUAUUAAUUGUGCAAAAUAUUUUAAACACUAUCUCACCCAAAAGCGAAAUAUAAAUAUUAAAACAAUGUUACUUAAACAAAUGUAAGUAAGGAAAACCCAGAGCUUUAUUGUAAAAAAUACCUCACAGUAUAUUGUGGCAAUGGAUGGGUAUCAAGAAGCUCCAAAGCAAUAAUAGAUCCGUUUAGAUUAUAGAUAUUUUUUUAAAGACCUGGAUAUUUUGUUUUUUGUUUUUUGAAAAUCAGAAUAUUCAAGGAGAUAAUGAACAUGUAUGUGUUGAUUGGUUAUUUAUUGAAAGAAAAAGCUGAUUACCUCUAAGUAGUUUCUUUUUUUGUGACGUAAUUGGACACUGCUUCAAAUUUGCUUGUUUGGUUUGUUUGCCUUCUUUGUGAUCAGAUUCCUAAAAAUGUGAAUUUUAAAGUUUGAACUCCAUGAACUUGUGUAUUU
This is a non-coding RNA of Pelobates cultripes (western spadefoot toad), 454 nucleotides long. Lineage: Eukaryota; Metazoa; Chordata; Amphibia; Anura; Pelobatidae. The record is from the annotation of a GenBank genome assembly.